GACGAACGCUGGCGGCGUGCUUAACACAUGCAAGUCGAACGGAAAGGCCCUGCUUGCAGGGUACUCGAGUGGCGAACGGGUGAGUAACACGUGGGUGAUCUGCCCUGCACUUCGGGAUAAGCCUGGGAAACUGGGUCUAAUACCGGAUAGGAGCCAUUAUUAGUGUGAUGGUUGGAAAGUUUUUUCGGUGUAGGAUGAGCUCGCGGCCUAUUAGCUUGUUGGUGGGGUAAUGGCCUACCAAGGCGGCGACGGGUAGCCGGCCUGAGCGGGUGGACGGCCACAUUGGGACUGAGAUACGGCCCAGCCUCCUACGGGGGGCAGCAGGGGGGAAUAUUGCUCAAUGGGCGCGAGCCUGAUGCAGCGACGCCGCGUGGGGGAUGACGGCCUUCGGGUUGUAAACUCCUUUCGCUAGGGACGAAGCUUUUUGUGACGGUACCUAGAUAAGAAGCACCGGCUAACUACGUG
RNAcentral lists this ribosomal RNA (465 nucleotides) under uncultured bacterium. RNAcentral describes it as "partial 16S ribosomal RNA". It matches the Rfam family "Bacterial small subunit ribosomal RNA", at positions 28 to 507 of the family's 1533-position model. The record is from RNAcentral.